RNAcentral lists this ribosomal RNA (1299 nucleotides) under Triticum aestivum (bread wheat). RNAcentral describes it as "partial small subunit ribosomal RNA". Lineage: Eukaryota; Viridiplantae; Streptophyta; Magnoliopsida; Poales; Poaceae. The record is from RNAcentral.
AUGCCCGGUCUGGCUCGCUUCAUCCUCCUCCUGCUCCUCGUCCUCGCCGUCCCCGUCGCUCAGCCUACCCCCUACAGCGACAACCUCCAGGACGCGUGCAACAAGACGUUGUUCCCCAAAGUGUGCAUCCAGGCGCUGACGGGCAACCCGGAGACCCGGACAGCGGACGCGCGCCGGCUGGCCGAGUUGUCCGUGAACUUCGCCAAACAGGCGGGCACCAAGGUGGCAGCGCUCGCUCACAACGAGCUCAACGGUGUCAAGGCGGAGGACGUCAUGUUCAAGUGCCUCGACAGCUGCUCCGACGACAUUGAAGAGGCGGUGGCGCACCUGAGCGGCCUCAGCGGCGAGGUCACCGACAGCAAGUUCCUCGAGGUCAAGUCAUGGCUGUCCGCGACGCUGGGCGGCUCGUCCACCUGUGAGGAGAGCUGCAAGGACGCGCCCGCCAGUGAUGCCAAGACGUUCUUCGUAGCCAAGAGCAUCGAAUUCGAGAAGCUGCUCCGCGUCACGCUCGACCUCAUCACCGAGGCCUCCGGCUCCAUGUCCGCGUCCGGCUCCAUGUCCGGCGACGUCGCGGUGCCGCCCACGCCGUAUGAUGGCAGCGCUUCAGGUUCCUAUGGUGCCAGCGCGCCGGGCUCCUACAGUGUCAGCGCAUCCGAGUCGUCCGAGAGUGCCAGCGCACCCGAGUCGUCCGAGAGUGCCAGCGCAUCCGAGUCGUCCGGGAGUGCCAGCGCACCCGAGUCGUCCGGGAGUGCCAGCGCGCCCAGCUCCGAAGCACCAUCCGCUGAUGCGUCGGCGCCGGCCUCGAACGCACCAACCUCCGAGGCACCGUCAGCUGGCGCGCCAGGCCCCUCCUAUGGCUCCAGCAGCGCACCGAGCUCCGAAGCACCAUCCAGUGAUGCGUUGGCGCCAUCCAGUGAUGCGUCGGCGCCAUCGAACGCUCCAACCUCCAACGCACCAUCAGCUGGCGCGCCAGGCCCCUCCUACGGCUCCAGCGCACCGAGCUCCGAAGCACCAUCCACCGAUGCGCCGACGCCCUCGAGCUCGAACGCACCAACCUCCGACGCACCCUCAGCUGUCUCGCCAGGCCCCUCCUAUGGCUCCGCCAGCGGGCCAUCUACCGAUGCACCGUCGCCAUCCCCAUCGGACGCCGACGCGCCAUCUUCCGGGUCUGCCGGCGCGCCAUCAUCAGGGUCGGCCGGCGCACCAUCAUCAGGGUCUGCCGGCGCACCAUCGUACGGGUCUGCCGGCGCCCCGUCCCCGUCCGACGCCGGCGCUCCUGAUGCCGACUCACCUGCAUGA